AUAUACCUGGGGUUUGGCAAAUGCCUGUUAAAUGGCUUCAUUACCCCUUGAAUGGCUCUUUAACAGUUUCAAUGUUGUGCUAAUAGGUCUGGCAGCCUGGAACGCCUUUUCAUUUUCAUUUCAUUUCAUUUCAGACUCGGAGCCUGCAGGAAGGGUCAGAACAGGGAUAGGAAAGGCUGAUGGGUGGACACUAAGACCCAGUGGUGCCCCAAAUUUUCAGGUGCCCUACGUAGCUGCGUAAGGACAGCCCUGCACGAAGCAGACACGGAGAGAAAGGAGCCUAACGGGUCUGCAGGCAGAGGUGAGGACGGGAGAGCCAUCACCACCCGAGGGCACAUCUGCUGGGGCUGAGCAAAUUCCCAAACUUCCCACCAGGAGGUGCCAGUAUGCUGCUGCAAAUGUGGCUUUGAGGGUCUCUCCAUCCACACCAGCAGAAUGGCUGAGCCAAAUUUGGAGAAGAAGGAAGAGGACUCGGGAUGACAUGUUUCAAGAAAUUCUGCAAGGCUCUGCUGCUUCAGAUAAUGAGCACAGGGCUUGGAGGAUCACUCUUGCAGACAGUAUGGAUGGGGACAGAGCGCAGAGGAGACAGGCAUAAGAAAAGAAGAGGAAUGUGCAGCAGGAGAUUCUUGCACUUCUCAGGCAGCAAACAGACAUGCUGCCGACUCUGGUGGACCUGAAGGUUCAACAAUCCCAUGCUCGCCUCCCUCUGCAGCCCAUAAAGAGCUUCAUAUCAGGACCUCCCUACACCUCCUCUCAACAUUCCUCGUGGCAUCAGGGGCUGCUGUACUAUCUCUACUGUGGUUAGAUGUUCAGCUGUGUGUGUGUGUGUGUUCUCUGUGUGCUGCCCCAGCUCUGUGCAGACAGCCAGCACAGCAGACCUCAAGCGAACUGCCCAAUGACCACAAGAUCCAUUAAGGCACGAAGGCACCUAGCCAGGUUUAUUGUUGACAAAGCACGGAAAUAGCACCUGGCACACUCUACGAGGAUACUAAGACAUGUAUGCCCAUGACAAUGGAUGCAGCUCAGUGAAUGGUGGGACUUUCCAUUCCCCCCUCGGCUGGACCAAGACACUCUCAGAGAUACUUCUUGUUUCUAUCAAGUUACAUACUGUAGAAACAAGUUACAUACUGCCCCUCUGACAUAGUUAGUUACUGCCCCUUGACGUGGCUAGUUAUUACCCAUCUCCUUGUACAUGUGGGUUUGAUCAAAACAUCUUUAUUCAUCACAUUGUCAUCCUGACCUUAUCUUUUAGGAGGCGUCUGUGUGUUCCUAUUAUCCUGGGGGAAUGUUUUUGUCCCAUCCUUGAUAUUGGGAUGUUCUGGUACCAAUCUUCUGGAAUGUGUUUGCAUGAGUACUCUGUGCCUAGUACUUCGUAAGAAUAUGUGUUUCUGCAAUAUCAGCCCUGUUCUUGACAGAUUCUGUGAACUUGCAAGGAGGCAGAGCCUGAUGUUUGCUCACAGCCUGAGUUUUUCUAACUUUGCUUUACAUCAGCAAAGCUUGCCCACUACUGUAGCUUAGGCCUCUAAUACAAGAGCUUAUAUCUCAGGCUCUCUCCCUACUACACCUACCACUCUACCCCAGGUGACAUUAAAGAUAUGCACAGCCACCAAUACACUGACCUGAAAUGGAAAUGACUGUUCUUUCCCUUAAUAAAUUACGGAAAAAGAACUUAUGAAGUUUUAUUAAGUUAUAAAUAUUUUUCUAUUUGCAUUGUUAUGGAAUAAAAGUCUGUUUAUGGAAA
This is a long non-coding RNA of Caretta caretta (loggerhead turtle), 1741 nucleotides long. RefSeq lists it as uncharacterized. The record is from RefSeq and is a predicted model, not a curated record. NCBI's taxonomy places the organism in Eukaryota, Metazoa, Chordata, Testudines, Cheloniidae.